RNAcentral lists this ribosomal RNA (714 nucleotides) under uncultured bacterium. RNAcentral's name for it is "bacterial SSU rRNA". It matches the Rfam family "Bacterial small subunit ribosomal RNA", at positions 65 to 774 of the family's 1533-position model. The record is from RNAcentral.
AGCGGGAAGUAGUUUACUACUUUGCCGGCGAGCGGCGGACGGGUGAGUAAUGUCUGGGAAACUGCCUGAUGGAGGGGGAUAACUACUGGAAACGGUAGCUAAUACCGCAUAACGUCUUCGGACCAAAGUGGGGGACCUUCGGGCCUCACGCCAUCGGAUGUGCCCAGAUGGGAUUAGCUAGUAGGUGGGGUAAUGGCUCACCUAGGCGACGAUCCCUAGCUGGUCUGAGAGGAUGACCAGCCACACUGGAACUGAGACACGGUCCAGACUCCUACGGGAGGCAGCAGUGGGGAAUAUUGCACAAUGGGCGCAAGCCUGAUGCAGCCAUGCCGCGUGUGUGAAGAAGGCCUUCGGGUUGUAAAGCACUUUCAGCGAGGAGGAAGGCCAAUAACUUAAUACGUUGUUGGAUUGACGUUACUCGCAGAAGAAGCACCGGCUAACUCCGUGCCAGCAGCCGCGGUAAUACGGAGGGUGCAAGCGUUAAUCGGAAUUGCUGGGCGUAAAGCGCACGCAGGCGGUUUGUUAAGUCAGAUGUGAAAUCCCCGCGCUUAACGUGGGAACUGCAUUUGAAACUGGCAAGCUAGAGUCUUGUAGAGGGGGGUAGAAUUCCAGGUGUAGCGGUGAAAUGCGUAGAGAUCUGGAGGAAUACCGGUGGCGAAGGCGGCCCCCUGGACAAAGACUGACGCUCAGGUGCGAAAGCGUGGGGAGCAAACA